This 1259-nucleotide ribosomal RNA is filed under the name metagenome. RNAcentral's name for it is "bacterial LSU rRNA". It matches the Rfam family "Bacterial large subunit ribosomal RNA", at positions 1632 to 2911 of the family's 2925-position model. The record is from RNAcentral.
CUCACAGAGACCGUACCCGAAACCGACACAGGUGGUCAGGUAGAGCAUACCAAGGCGCUUGAGAGAACUAUGCUGAAGGAACUCGGCAAAUUGCACGCGUAACUUCGGGAUAAGCGUGACUCUCAUUUGGGCAACCAGAUGAGAGUGGCACAGGCCAGGGGGUAGCGACUGUUUAUCAAAAACACAGGGCUCUGCGAAGCGGCAACGCGACGUAUAGGGUCUGACGCCUGCCCGGUGCCGGAAGGUUAAAAGGAGGGGUGCAAGCUCCGAAUUGAAGCCCCGGUAAACGGCGGCCGUAACAAUAACGGUCCUAAGGUAGCGAAAUUCCUUGUCGGGUAAGUUCCGACCUGCACGAAUGGCGUAACGACUUCCCCACUGUCUCCAGCAUAGGCUCAGCGAAAUUGAAUUCCCCGUGAAGAUGCGGGGUUCCCGCGGUCAGACGGAAAGACCCUAUGAACCUUUACUGCAGCUUCGCCUUGGCGUUAGCAGCAACAUGUGUAGGAUAGGUGGGAGGCUAUGAAACCGGGGCGCCAGUUCUGGUGGAGCCAUCCUUGAAAUACCACCCUUCUUGUUGCUGACGUCUAACCGCGGCCCGUCUAUCCGGGUCCGGGACAUGGCGUGGCGGGCAGUUUGACUGGGGCGGUCGCCUCCCAAAGUGUAACGGAGGCGCGCGAUGGUGGGCUCAGACCGGUCGGAAAUCGGUCGUCGAGUGCAAUGGCAUAAGCCCGCCUGACUGCGAGACUGACAAGUCGAGCAGAGACGAAAGUCGGCCAUAGUGAUCCGGUGGUCCUGCGUGGAAGGGCCAUCGCUCAACGAAUAAAAGGUACUCUAGGGAUAACAGGCUGAUUUUGCCCAAGAGUCCAUAUCGACGGCAAAGUUUGGCACCUCGAUGUCGGCUCAUCACAUCCUGGGGCUGGAGCAGGUCCCAAGUGUUCGGCUGUUCGCCGAUUAAAGUGGUACGUGAGCUGGGUUCAGAACGUCGUGAGACAGUUUGGUCCCUAUCUGCCGUGGGUGUACGAAACUUGAGAGGAUCUGUCCCUAGUACGAGAGGACCGGGAUGGACACACCUCUGGUGGACCUGUCGUGGCGCCAGCCGCGCAGCAGGGUAGCUAAGUGUGGACUAGAUAACCGCUGAAAGCAUCUAAGCGGGAAACUAACCUCAAAACAAGGUUUCGCCGAGAGCCGUAGCAUACUACUACGUUGAUAGGCCAGGUGUGGAAGUGCGGUGACGCAUGGAGCUUACUGGUACUAAUCGCUCU